RNAcentral lists this ribosomal RNA (465 nucleotides) under Vreelandella stevensii. Its description in RNAcentral is "partial 16S ribosomal RNA". It matches the Rfam family "Bacterial small subunit ribosomal RNA", at positions 338 to 795 of the family's 1533-position model. The record is from RNAcentral. Lineage: Bacteria; Pseudomonadati; Pseudomonadota; Gammaproteobacteria; Oceanospirillales; Halomonadaceae.
CCUACGGGGGGCAGCAGUGGGGAAUAUUGGACAAUGGGGGCAACCCUGAUCCAGCCAUGCCGCGUGUGUGAAGAAGGCCCUCGGGUUGUAAAGCACUUUCAGUGAGGAAGAACGCCUGGUGGUUAAUACCCAUCAGGAAAGACAUCACUCACAGAAGAAGCACCGGCUAACUCCGUGCCAGCAGCCGCGGUAAUACGGAGGGUGCGAGCGUUAAUCGGAAUUACUGGGCGUAAAGCGCGCGUAGGUGGCUUGAUAAGCCGGUUGUGAAAGCCCCGGGCUCAACCUGGGAACGGCAUCCGGAACUGUCAAGCUAGAGUGCAGGAGAGGAAGGUAGAAUUCCUGGUGUAGCGGUGAAAUGCGUAGAGAUCGGGAGGAAUACCAGUGGCGAAGGCGGCCUUCUGGACUGACACUGACACUGAGGUGCGAAAGCGUGGGUAGCAAACAGGAUUAGAUACCCUAGUAGUC